UACAGAGGGGGCUAGCGUUGUUCGGAAUUACUGGGCGUAAAGGGCGCGUAGGUGGCCUGUUAAGUCGAACGUGAAAUCCCCGGGCUCAACCCGGGAACUGCGUCCGAGACUGGCAGGCUCGAAUCCGGGAGAGGGAUGUGGAAUUCCAGGUGUAGCGGUGAAAUGCGUAGAUAUCGAGAGGAACACCUGCGGCGAAGGCGGGUUGCUGGGCUGACACUGACGCUGAGGCGCGAAAGCCAGGGGAGCGAACGGG
RNAcentral lists this ribosomal RNA (253 nucleotides) under uncultured bacterium. RNAcentral describes it as "partial 16S ribosomal RNA". It matches the Rfam family "Bacterial small subunit ribosomal RNA", at positions 524 to 776 of the family's 1533-position model. The record is from RNAcentral.